Molecule: ribosomal RNA, 164 nt
Filed under: Dasyphyllum popayanense
Lineage: Eukaryota; Viridiplantae; Streptophyta; Magnoliopsida; Asterales; Asteraceae
Description: 5.8S ribosomal RNA
Rfam family: 5.8S ribosomal RNA
About the family: 5.8S ribosomal RNA (5.8S rRNA) is a component of the large subunit of the eukaryotic ribosome. It is transcribed by RNA polymerase I as part of the 45S precursor that also contains 18S and 28S rRNA.
Source: RNAcentral
CAAACGACUCUCGGCAACGGAUAUCUCGGCUCACGCAUCGAUGAAGAACGUAGCAAAAUGCGAUACUUGGUGUGAAUUGCAGAAUCCCGUGAACCAUCGAGUUUUUGAACGCAAGUUGCGCCCGAAGCCAUCCGGUAGAGGGCACGUCUGCCUGGGCGUCACGC